UAUAUAAAUAUAUAUAUAUAUAUAGCUACAGAGUUUUUAAAGCAACUUCCUUAUAUUGUUAAAGCCACAUCCCAUGUACAUACACCCUAGCUAUUCCAAUGCUCUCCCUUGCUAUUGUCCACUUGUAUUUACUCUAGCUCUUCCUUGGUGCUCUCAACUUGUAUCCAUUCUUGCUCUCUCUUGUUGCCCUCCACUUGUGUUUAUUCUAACUCUUUGUUGUUGCUCCCAACUUGUAUCCAUUCUUGCUCUCUCUUGUUGCCCUCCACUUGUGUUUAUUCUCUCUUUGUUGUUGCUCCCAACUUGUAUCCAUUCUUGCUCUCCCUUGUUGCUUUCCACUUGUGCAUACAUACUAAAUUCUCAC
This 361-nucleotide long non-coding RNA is filed under the name Physcomitrium patens. Its description in RNAcentral is "long non-coding RNA (PPAT_LNC011626)". The record is from RNAcentral. Lineage: Eukaryota; Viridiplantae; Streptophyta; Bryopsida; Funariales; Funariaceae.